This 459-nucleotide ribosomal RNA is filed under the name uncultured bacterium. RNAcentral's name for it is "SSU rRNA". It matches the Rfam family "Bacterial small subunit ribosomal RNA", at positions 28 to 497 of the family's 1533-position model. The record is from RNAcentral.
GAUGAACGCUGGCGGCGUGCCUAACACAUGCAAGUCGAACGGAGCACUGAGAAUUCGGUCUUUGUGCUUAGUGGCGGACGGGUGAGUAACGCGUGAGCAAUUUGCCUUUCAGAGGGGGAUAACGAAUGGAAACGGUCGCUAAUACCGCAUAAAGUAUUUUGCAGGCAUCUGCGAGAUACCAAAGGAGCAAUCCGUUGAAAGAUGAGCUCGCGUCUGAUUAGAUAGUUGGUGAGGUAACGGCCCACCAAGUUGACGAUCAGUAGCCGGACUGAGAGGUUGAACGGCCACAUUGGGACUGAGACACGGCCCAGACUCCUACGGGAGGCAGCAGUGGGGAAUAUUGCGCAAUGGGGGAAACCCUGACGCAGCAACGCCGCGUGAUCGAAGAAGGUCUUCGGAUUGUAAAGAUCUUUUAUCAGGGACGAAGAAAGUGACGGUACCUGAUGAAUAAGCUCCGGC